RNAcentral lists this ribosomal RNA (528 nucleotides) under bacterium. RNAcentral describes it as "bacterial SSU rRNA". It matches the Rfam family "Bacterial small subunit ribosomal RNA", at positions 345 to 864 of the family's 1533-position model. The record is from RNAcentral.
GAGGCAGCAGUGGGGAAUAUUGGACAAUGGGCGCAAGCCUGAUCCAGCCAUACCGCGUGGGUGAAGAAGGCCUUCGGGUUGUAAAGCCCUUUUGUUGGGAAAGAAAAGCAGUCGAUUAAUACUCGGUUGUUCUGACGGUACCCAAAGAAUAAGCACCGGCUAACUUCGUGCCAGCAGCCGCGGUAAUACGAAGGGUGCAAGCGUUACUCGGAAUUACUGGGCGUAAAGCGUGCGUAGGUGGUUGUUUAAGUCUGUUGUGAAAGCCCUGGGCUCAACCUGGGAAUUGCAGUGGAUACUGGGCGACUAGAGUGUGGUAGAGGGUAGUGGAAUUCCCGGUGUAGCAGUGAAAUGCGUAGAGAUCGGGAGGAACAUCCAUGGCGAAGGCAGCUACCUGGACCAACACUGACACUGAGGCACGAAAGCGUGGGGAGCAAACAGGAUUAGAUACCCUGGUAGUCCACGCCCUAAACGAUGCGAACUGGAUGUUGGGUGCAAUUUGGCACGCAGUAUCGAACCUAACGCGUUAAG